CUGAUGUAAUGUUAUAAUGUAGAAUAGAACAUGCUAUUUGUUAAAUGUACAUAAUGCUGCAAUUACCACUACUCCUUUCUCUUUAGGUCUUUAUUUGGUCCCAGGAACAGAUGUACAGUAACAUUUUGUAAAUACUGUACUAUAAAAUCAGUGACUGCUAACCAGUGUUGAGGAAUAGCUAGACUUACGAGUGACUGAAAUAAUAAGAGGAUGCCUAGUUUGGGGAUGAUUGCUGCUUUCUUGCCUACAGGAUAUAUCAAGGCUAUUCCAAGUUCACUUCUAAAUAAUUAGAACAACUGCGGUAAAAGAGAAUUUGAAAGGAAGAAACCAUGUGUGCAGGACACUCUGUGGAACCUAAAGCAGAAUAAGCAGUAACCUUUUUCUGCAACAUGGCUGUUACACACAACUGGUACAAUUGGCCACAGUGUUUUUUUACCCUAAAUGUAUCCAAUUUUCAGGCCAUAGUAAAACUAAAAAGUUUGCUUUCAAGUGACAUAUUCUCAUAGUUAACAACUUCAAAAGAAAUAUGAAGGGAUAAAUGGAUGUUUGGCUUCUUUAAUGAAUAUCAAUCUCGAGAAAAGACAUAGCCAGUCAAUACCAGAAUGUACUAAAUGCAGGCUUACUGUAAAAUAACAAUAUGAAAAAUGUAUUAUGUUUAGGCCUUUAGCUGUUGAUUUUUUAUAAUAUCUUCUUGACCCAUAAAAUUUACU
This is a long non-coding RNA of Polypterus senegalus (gray bichir), 710 nucleotides long. RefSeq lists it as uncharacterized. NCBI's taxonomy places the organism in Eukaryota, Metazoa, Chordata, Cladistia, Polypteriformes, Polypteridae. The transcript is spliced from 3 exons. The record is from RefSeq and is a predicted model, not a curated record.